Molecule: ribosomal RNA, 388 nt
Filed under: Echinodermata sp.
Lineage: Eukaryota; Metazoa; Echinodermata
Description: partial small subunit ribosomal RNA
Rfam family: Eukaryotic small subunit ribosomal RNA
Source: RNAcentral
AUUCCAGCUCCAGUAGCGUAUAUUAAAGCUGUUGCAGUUAAAAAGCUCGUAGUUGGAUCUUGGGCCCAGGCCUGCGGUCCGCCGUGAGGCGAGUACUGCAGUCCUGGCCUUCCUCUCGGUUUUCGCCCGGUGCCCUUAACUGAGUGCCAGGAGAGGCCGGAACGUUUACUUUGAAAAAAUUGGAGUGUUCAAAGCAGGCCUCGCGCCUGAACAGCAGAGCAUGGAAUAAUGGAAUAGGACCUCGGUUCUAUUGCGUUGGUUUUCGGAACUCGAGGUAAUGAUUAAGAGGGACUGACGGGGGCAUUCGUAUUGCGGUGUGAGAGGUGAAAUUCUUGGAUCGCCGCAAGACGACCGACUGCGAAAGCAUUUGCCAAGAAUGUUUUCAUCA